AAAAAAAAAAAAAAAAAAAAUUAGCCUACAGUGGUGGCGCUUGCCUGUGGCCCCAGCUGCUCCGGAGGCUGAGGCUGGAGGAUCACUUUAGCCGGGGAGGCAGAGGCUACAGUGAGCCGAGAUGGCACGACUGCACUCCAGCCUGGGCGACAGGGCGAGACCCUGUCUCAAAAACAAAACAAAACAAAACAAAAGGAAAACAAAAUAAAAAGAUUCUCGAUCCCAAACUAGACCUACUGAAUCAAACACUCGGGGUGGGCAGGGGUAGGGGGCGCGUACAACAAUCUGUUUGAACAGAGCCCUCCCGGGGACACUGUUACACACUUAAAUUUGAGUGAAAACCACCACUGAUCUAAGCGGGACAGGGAAGUGUCUGGGAGUAAAACAAGAGUAGAUACGCCUUGUUUCGCAGAAUUUCUGUCUGAAGUACUAGUAAAUGUGAUUCUUUGACACUUUCUGGUGAGCGGAGGCUGCACACUGUUCAGGUUUCCUUGCUCUGUUAACUCUGACUUUCGGUAAAUUGCUUCAGUUUUCUAAGCUUCCAUUUCCUUCUAUGUAAAAAAGUGAAAAUAAUACCACAUGGAGUUGCCUGUAGGUUAAAUUACAUAUUUUAUGAAAAUCACUUAGCACAGCUCCUGGCAAAACCGAAUAAGUGCUAUCUACGUCAGCAUUUGGCGUUUGUUGCCCUGGGCAUAAAAUACCCUAGGACCCCUCUUUCUAUUUCGCCUGGCUCAGAAGUUUUGACGUGGCUACUGAAAUACAAGACAAGGCCUGCUACUUACUAGUGCUGCUUUUAGUGAAAGUGUGCUAAAAGUAUUUAUAGAUUUUAUAGCUUUAAUAAUAUAAAAUGUCAAGAACAGGCAGCAAUUUGGCAAGAGAAAUUCCAGAUUGCAUUUUACAGCUUCUAUGAUAAAUGACUGUUACAUAAGCAGGAAACAUACCUCAUUGAAAAUGGCAACUCUUUUGGCAUCUAUAGCAAAUAUAAUGAAACAUGCUGUUUAAUAUUUCACUUGGCAGAAAUUGUAUUUUU
Molecule: long non-coding RNA, 1030 nt
Filed under: Homo sapiens (human)
Lineage: Eukaryota; Metazoa; Chordata; Mammalia; Primates; Hominidae
Description: non-protein coding lnc-RAPH1-6:2
Source: RNAcentral